This 252-nucleotide unclassified non-coding RNA is filed under the name uncultured fungus. RNAcentral's name for it is "sequence contains ITS1, 5.8S rRNA gene". The stretch from base 204 to 252 matches the Rfam family "5.8S ribosomal RNA", at positions 1 to 49 of the family's 154-position model. The record is from RNAcentral. Lineage: Eukaryota; Fungi.
UUUCCGUAGGUGAACCUGCGGAAGGAUCAUUAACGAAUUCAAAAGUCGGUCGACCGUGCUGGCGGAGACGCACAUGCACGUCGGUCGCAAACCCAAUCCACACACCUGUGAACGUACGGCCUCGGAGUCGUGAGACCUCGGGGCACACCAUUUUUCACAUACUCUGUAAAAGAAUGUACCUGUGCCUAGCGCAAAAACUUAACAACUUUCAACAACGGAUCUCUUGGCUCUCGCAUCGAUGAAGAACGCAGC